This 859-nucleotide ribosomal RNA is filed under the name Pseudarthrobacter sp. RNAcentral describes it as "partial 16S ribosomal RNA". It matches the Rfam family "Bacterial small subunit ribosomal RNA", at positions 26 to 896 of the family's 1533-position model. Lineage: Bacteria; Bacillati; Actinomycetota; Actinomycetes; Micrococcales; Micrococcaceae. The record is from RNAcentral.
GGGGAAGUGGCGGGGUGCUUACACAUGCAGUCGAACGAUGAAGCCCACUUGUGGGUGGAUUAGUGGCGAACGGGUGAGUAACACGUGAGUAACCUGCCCUUGACUCUGGGAUAAGCCUGGGAAACUGGGUCUAAUACCGGAUAUGACCUUCCAUCGCAUGGGGGUUGGGGGAAAGCUUUUGUGGUUUUGGAUGGACUCGCGGCCUAUCAGCUUGUUGGUGGGGUAAUGGCCUACCAAGGCGACGACGGGUAGCCGGCCUGAGAGGGUGACCGGCCACACUGGGACUGAGACACGGCCCACACUCCUACGGGAGGCAGCAGUGGGGAAUAUUGCACAAUGGGCGCAAGCCUGAUGCAGCGACCCCGCGUGAGGGAUGACGGCCUUCGGGUUGUAAACCUCUUUCAGUAGGGAAAAAACGUAAGUGACGGUACCUGCAAAAAAAACGCCGGCUAACUACGUGCCAGCAGCCGCGGUAAUACGUAGGGCGCAAGCGUUAUCCGGAAUUAUUGGGCGUAAAGAGCUCGUAGGCGGUUUGUCGCGUCUGCCGCGAAAGUCCGGGGCUCAACUCCGGAUCUGCGGGGGGUACGGGCAGACUAGAGUGAUGUAGGGGAGACUGGAAUUCCUGGGGUAGCGGUGAAAUGCGCAGAUAUCAGGAGGAACACCGAUGGGGAAGGGGGGUCUCUGGGCAUUAUCUGACGCUGAGGAGCGAAAACAUGGGGAGCGAACAGGAUUAGAUACCCUGGGUAUACCAUGCCGCAAAACGUUGUGGCACUACGAUGUGGGGGGACAUUCCACGUUUUUCCCCGCGGAAGCUAAAACAUUAAAUGCCCCCCCCUGGGGAGAACGACCCCAAAGGCUA